Molecule: transfer RNA, 72 nt
Filed under: Thiomicrospira cyclica ALM1
Lineage: Bacteria; Pseudomonadati; Pseudomonadota; Gammaproteobacteria; Thiotrichales; Piscirickettsiaceae
Description: Thioalkalimicrobium cyclicum ALM1 tRNA
Rfam family: tRNA
About the family: Transfer RNA (tRNA) molecules are approximately 80 nucleotides in length. Their secondary structure includes four short double-helical elements and three loops (D, anti-codon, and T loops).
Source: Rfam by way of RNAcentral
UGGGCUGUAGCCAAGCGGUAAGGCAGCGGGUUUUGAUCCCGUCAUGCGAAGGUUCGAAUCCUUCCAGCCCAG